This 269-nucleotide ribosomal RNA is filed under the name uncultured bacterium. Its description in RNAcentral is "partial 16S ribosomal RNA". It matches the Rfam family "Bacterial small subunit ribosomal RNA", at positions 85 to 353 of the family's 1533-position model. The record is from RNAcentral.
UUGCUGGCGACCGGCGCACGGGUGAGUAACACGUAUCCAACCUGCCCUUUACUCGGGGAUAGCCUUUCGAAAGAAAGAUUAAUACCCGAUAGUAUAAUGAUUCCGCAUGGUUUCAUUAUUAAAGGAUUCCGGUAAAGGAUGGGGAUGCGUUCCAUUAGGUUGUUGGUGAGGUAACGGCUCACCAAGCCUUCGAUGGAUAGGGGUUCUGAGAGGAAGGUCCCCCACAUUGGAACUGAGACACGGUCCAAACUCCUACGGGAGGCAGCAUG